This 244-nucleotide ribosomal RNA is filed under the name uncultured bacterium. Its description in RNAcentral is "partial 16S ribosomal RNA". It matches the Rfam family "Bacterial small subunit ribosomal RNA", at positions 109 to 354 of the family's 1533-position model. The record is from RNAcentral.
AGUAACACGUGGAUAAUCUGCCCUGCACAGGGGGACAACAGCUAGAAAUGGCUGCUAAUACCGCAUAAGCCUACAGCCUCGCAUGAGGGAGUAGGAAAAGAAAUUCGGUGCAGGAUGAGUCCGCGUCUGAUUAGCUAGUUGGAGGGGUAAAAGCCCACCAAGGCAACGAUCAGUAGCCGGCCUGAGAGGGCGACCGGCCACAUUGGGACUGAGACACGGCCCAAACUCCUACGGAAGGCAGCAG